AGAUAAAUCGGCGAUAAAGACGUCCGAUGAAGAGUGGUUCUUUUUCUGUCCUAAAGAUCGCAAGUAUCAAAAUGGGCAGCGAUUGAACAGAGCGACUCUGGCUGGGUACUGGAAGGCCACGGUAUUUUGAUGGAUAUGGAUAUCAUGGAACAUCAUUUGAGCAAACAUAUCGAUGUUACCCUGCAUCUUUUAUUGAUAAGCCACAGAUUGAAAAUGGUGAUAAAAGUAAGUUAUCAAACUCUAAACACUUGUGUGUGCAUGUAUUAGCCUUCUAAAUGUCUUAAUUUUUCAUUUUAUUUUUAUUUAUUUAUUUAUCUUUUCACUAUGUUGUUGCAGUUAUAAUGCCUUCCUCAGCCCAUGACCGUCUUGGUUAGUUGAUUUAUUUGAAAUUUGUUAUGGUGGCUUAUUAUCUUUUGUGGUUAAUUCAAAAAUUUUUCCUAUUAUCAUCUAAAAUGCUAAUAUAAGACUCUAUUCUGCAACAUCUCUUCAUAUUGAUUAUCCUAUGUUGUUUGAACUUCGCAAUGCUGCUACUGAGCGCAUUUCUCAUUGUGGCGUUCUUGAGUUCAUUGCAGAAGAAGGCAUGAUAUAUAUGCCGUACUGGAUGAUGGAGAAUUUGCUCUUACAAGAAGGAGACAUUGUGUGAGUGAAAAAUAUGACUCUCCCAAAAGGGACAUAUGUUAACCUG
Non-coding RNA from Camellia sinensis, 685 nucleotides. The record is from RefSeq and is a predicted model, not a curated record. Lineage: Eukaryota; Viridiplantae; Streptophyta; Magnoliopsida; Ericales; Theaceae.